GAUGAACGCUGGCGGCGUGCCUAAUACAUGCAAGUCGAGCGAACAGACGAGGAGCUUGCUCCUCUGACGUUAGCGGCGGACGGGUGAGUAACACGUGGAUAACCUACCUAUAAGACUGGGAUAACUUCGGGAAACCGGAGCUAAUACCGGAUAACAUGUUGAACCGCAUGGUUCAACAGUGAAAGACGGUCUUGCUGUCACUUAUAGAUGGAUCCGCGCCGCAUUAGCUAGUUGGUAAGGUAACGGCUUACCAAGGCAACGAUGCGUAGCCGACCUGAGAGGGUGAUCGGCCACACUGGAACUGAGACACGGUCCAGACUCCUACGGGAGGCAGCAGUAGGGAAUCUUCCGCAGUGGGCGAAAGCCUGACGGAGCAACGCCGCGUGAGUGAAGAAGGUCUUCGGAUCGUAAAACUCUGUUAUUAGGGAAGAACAAAUGUGUAAGUAACUAUGCACGUCCUGACGGUACCUAAUCAGAAAGCCACGGCUAACUACGUG
Molecule: ribosomal RNA, 497 nt
Filed under: uncultured bacterium
Lineage: Bacteria
Description: partial 16S ribosomal RNA
Rfam family: Bacterial small subunit ribosomal RNA
Source: RNAcentral